RNAcentral lists this ribosomal RNA (252 nucleotides) under uncultured bacterium. Its description in RNAcentral is "partial 16S ribosomal RNA". It matches the Rfam family "Bacterial small subunit ribosomal RNA", at positions 524 to 776 of the family's 1533-position model. The record is from RNAcentral.
UACGGAGGAUGCGAGCGUUAUCCGGAUUUAUUGGGUUUAAAGGGUGCGUAGGCGGACUGUCAAGUCAGCGGUAAAAUUGAGAGGCUCAACCUCUUCCCGCCGUUGAAACUGGUGGUCUUGAGUGGAUGAGAAGUACGCGGAAUGCGUGGUGUAGCGGUGAAAUGCAUAGAUAUCACGCAGAACUCCGAUUGCGAAGGCAGCGUACCGGCAUCCAACUGACGCUGAUGCUCGAAAGUGUGGGUAUCAAACAGG